GAAUAUUUAAAAUGAUAAACAAAAUAUUCCCCAAAAUUUGUGAAUUUUCAGUUAUUUUUUCCUUCUUUUUUUUUUGUGGCACUUUUUGCUAUCUCUUGCCAAUUUUUUGCACCCCUUCUUCAUAUUAGGAACCCGUCUCUUGGCCAAGUUUCAGCACAUAUAUUGCUGAAAAUUCGAUUUUCCAAACCUUGGUUAGAAGUAUCGUGUGGCUAUGAUAGAUAUCACCUAAUGAAGUCUAACCCAAAACUUACCUCCAAUGUUGAAGAACUCUAAAAAAUUGGUUGGUUUCAACAAAUACAUGUUUAUACCCUUAUUACCAUGUAUAGUAAAUAUUGCUCACAACAUCAAAGAAGUUUAGUUUUGUCUUUUUUUCUCAGCAAUAUCCUAUUAAGAAUCACCAAUUUCCAAUAAUACGCUUUAAUACCUAUAACUGCCUCAGGAAAUCCCUUUUUUUUUCUUCUUGUUCUCUCAUUUCUCAGCAGUCAAAACCCUAUAUUUUAUUUCUAUACUUGGACCUCCUUUUUUCUUUUUGGUCUCACUAGAUCAAUAUCCAAAAGAAAAACUCAACAUUUUCUUGCCAAAAAUUUUAGUUUCUUUCAUUUCUUUAAUUUUUUAGUCAUUUUCUCAUCUUUUAUUUCUUAUUGGGUGAAACCGUAGACAUUCAAAAUCUAUCAACUUUUAAGCUGAUUUCAAGCUUUUUGGGGGGGUAUACAAGAACUUUAGCUACUAUUUGCUGUCUAUUUUACAUUUAGUAGAAGGAAAAAGGGCCUUUGAACCUCUCUAUCCCUUUUUGUUAAACCGAUACAAGAAGAGAGGCCACACACAAGAUGACAGUGUUAGUUAACUUGAUAUACAUUCUUAGCCUAUCACUUAACAAUUUAAGCUUUUAGGAUAAGUAAUAUUCUAACAUAGCCAAAUAUCAUCCUGCAAUAAAGUUGAUGUCAAAUAUUAUCAUGCCUGAGAUGGCUAUCAUGCAGAAGCCAUUAAUCUUCUUUCUAUUCCUCUUUUUAUUGCUCUUUCAUGUUACCUUACUAGCAAGAAAGAAUAUGUCAUCAUCAAUCAUGACCUUAAUUAAGAACACAUCAUACAGUUAUAACGUAUUAAGAAGCAAGUAAGAGGAGGGAGAAGUAAAUAUUAGAGGGCAGAAAGAGGAGUCAUCAAACAUUAAAACUCAUGUUGUUGACUUCCUUUUUUUUCCCACUCAAAAGAAACGAACAGAGAGAGAGAAGGCAAAUUGCCCUUCUCGCUUUUCAAAAAUACUACUAAAGAGCUCAACCACCAACAAUAGUUAAGUCUUUUGGAGAGCAGGACCCUUAUGCAUCUUUUGGAUGGUUUGGAAGACAAGGAAUAGGAUUGAUUUCAAUAAUGAAGUGCUUUCAAUCCAAAGGCUAAAAAGUUAUUUCAUUUGCUUUAUUUGGUCAAAGACUAACUAGGCUAAAAAGCUCUAGUUAGUUUCUUUGAUUGGUUGAGCUCUUUUUGAGGGUAGUGGUGUUGUUGUCCUUCUUGUUUUGUAAAUCCUUCUCUUGUUUGAGCCUUUUGGCCAUGGGUUUAUACAUCAUGUAUUCCUUGAGUCACUCUUUUAGCACUUCUUAUUAAUAUAUAUGCAUUUAUAUAUCUAUAUAUAUUGAUAGGUAAAUAUAUGCAUUUAUAUAUACACACACUUCUUUAUCUAUCAAAAAGUACUUAAGUCUUACCUAUUGUUAAAUUGGUUUAGGAAAAGCUUUGAUGAGAAGGCACAACUAAAGAAAAUUUUAAUAAUACACAUAUAGCAUGAAAGACAUUGUGAGAAGGCCACAAGUACUUUCUUCCUUGUAGAAUUAGGUUUUGACAAACUUUUGAAACUCACUCUUGCAAAUCUAAACUUGGUGGGUCAUUCUUCAAAAAAUCACUUUUUUUUUUCCUUUUUUGAUAAGAAAAGUAUAUAUAUUAAAAAGAGGUGCCAAAAUAGCGCCACAUGAUCUACAAGAUAAAUGCACCCACCCCACAUAGCUCACAUAAAAUUAACUGCCAAAAUGGAGAUACAAAAAACAUCCUCACCCUCAAUGAGAGUCCAACCAAUUAACAUCAAAGGACCAUCCUUUAUAAACAUCUUAGUCUCUAACCAAAGAAAGCAAACAAAAGAUCCCUUUAAACUUUGGAUGAAAAGCACAUCAUCUUCGAAGGCAACUGAUGUAGGACAACCCUAGGAUGGUUGCCUACACUUAAGGGUAGGUGGGCUAGGGUUUUAUUUUUAGGGUGUAAGGAGAGGAACAAGGAAUAAAUUUUAUGGUAGAGAAAAUUAUAAGAUAAGAAAUAGAGAGAAAGAAGAAACAAUGAAGAAAAGAUGGAAAAACCUUAGAAUCUCAUUAAGGCCUUCUAGAAGUCUCACCUAGAAGAAAAUCAAUGGAGUCUCACCAUUGAGGGUUGCAACCUUGCAAUAAAAGAAAGUAUAAUAUUAUUCAUCAAAUUCAUUCAUUUGAUUUACAUUGAUUAGCCUAUUUAUAGGCUUCUCUAAAAAAUCCAAAAUCUACUAGGACUCUAAUAACCUAUCAUGACUCAAAUUCUAAUUAUAUUAUAACUCAACUAGCUAAUCCUAAUUAGACUCCAACAAAUAUUAAUCAUAAUUUAAUUCUAAGUAAUAUUAAUCCUACUUUAAUUGCAACUAAUAUUAAUUCCCUUUCUUGAUAUAUAUCUUGAAGAUUCAUCCUCAUCAGCGACUCUAUUCCUUCCCUUCGAAACCAUCCAAAAAAUGCACAAGGGAUCUACUCUCAAAACUUUCUUACCCUUUUUGCCCACAAAGGACCCAUUCCAAAAUUCACUUUUUUAUUAUACAGCACAUUACCAAAAUAUUGUCAAAGCAUUUCCUUUUUUUACAUCCAAACACCAAGUAAGUCUUCUUAAAAGCAUUUCUAAUGGAACUGUUACCAACAAAAGCACUAUAAACUAAAAGUGUUUUAACUAGAAUCACUAGUAAACAACUCUAAAUAUAACAAUUCUAGACCCGCAUUUUUCAAGUGUGUUCCCACUCGACAGGUGAGACUUGCUUUUUAUUGUGAAUUUUGUUUUUUUGUUUUUUUUUUUAAUUUGGAGUCAUCAUUUAUUUUUAUUUAUUUUUAAAAAAGAAAACAAAAUAAGAAAUAAAACCCUAAAUGACUAUAGACCCUCCAUUUUGUCAUCGUAACAUGUAUCAUCAUACUUGUUACCUCACCCCUUACAUUUUCAUGUAGUAUGCACAUAGGAUCCCCUUCUAUUUAGUUGUUCAUCACUCCUUGGUGGUCCGCUUGUUACUCAGUUUGACACUGACUCUUAAGCCACUUUUAGAGACCUUUUGAAAGGAGUUUUUGGAUCCAUCGUGUAACUUUAGUGGCACCCUAGUUUUCCUUAAAUUUUCGACAUAUUUAGAGCUCGUUCAUAGCCUUUUUGCAAAGCUCGAGAACCUUUUAGGGUUAAAUCGGUCAAGGUCAAUCGGUUGAUUGGGUUUUGUGUUUUUUGGGACCACUUCGGUCCUUUUUCAAGCCCCCUUUUUUUUUAGUUAGUUUUGGGGGGUUCCUAGAGGUGCUUUAAGAGAGUUUUAACCGUUAAUGUCUCUUUGGGCUUGGGGUUAAGUUUUUAAAGCUUUUAAAUGUUUUGAGCUUUGGAGGAUACGAGGACAAAUGUCUAAAUCUCCACUAUUCCUUACCGUAUAAAAAUGGGACUUGGGAGCUCAGUUUUGAGGAGGAUUUUCUAAGUGUUUUGGAAAUGGAUACUCUGCUAAAAUUGAGAAAGGGGGAGAAGAGUUCUCUUAGAAGGAUUCUUAGCUUGGAAGCUUACUUGAUGAACAAGUUUAGUCACUUGUGAGGAUAAAUUUUGUAAGUAUGGUUUACUUUCGUUUUUUAUCUUUCACUUAUAGUCCAUUCUUCUUCUCUUUUAAUUCUUUGAGGAUAUAUAUUUUUUAGGUAUAGAUAUUAGACCACAAACUUGGAUUGUUUAUUAUUUGUUCAUGAUUUAUGGUUAUACUUCUCUUCUUCUCUUGGUUGUUCUUAAUUGCUUAAAAGAUUGUUUAAUCUUUAUUUAUCUUAUUGUACAAUGGUUUUGAAGUUUUGUUUGAUUUGGUUUUGAUAUUUUUACCCAUUUUUCAAGUCCAUUGAUCAUUCAUGAGAUAAGACUUUGCUAGGAUUUGAAAUCUUUGUUUUCUUUUGAUUUUCUCUUUUAGGGACUUCGGUUUUCCCCUUCAUUUUAAUGAUUUUUGAAAACUUUUUAAAUUGAUUUUAAAAUAAAUUUAGAGAAUCACAAGUGUUUGUUUAUUUGACAAAAUGGUUUUCCAUAGAAAAUGUCUUCUGAAGCCUCUUUUGGCCCUUUUUUAUUUUCUUUUCAAAUUUGGUUAUAAAACCCAUUUCAAACCCUCUUUGACUGAGAUUUCAUGCAUCUUUAAUGGUCUUUUUCUUGGCCAAGGUUAAGCCUCUUUCCAUAGGCUUUGAUCUCACUAUUAUACUUGAGAAAAUUGAUAGAUACUCUUGUAUUCUUGUGGUUUUUGAAAAGCUUUUUCAAACUAAUUUUUAGAAAACCGUUCUCAGUCCUUUUGAACCACUCUUUAUAGUCAAUUGGAGCUUAAGAUUAUGGCCAUUUUGAGGUCAUUAAUGGUUGUCAUGAUCAUGGGUACAUAAUGCAUGAUUUCACAUUAGAACAUCCUCAUUUAUGGGUGUUUCUUUGUGCAUUUUAUCCUCAAUGAGCACUCAAGCAUGAAAAAAAGUGUUGAAUUCACAAAGAAAUACUCAUAAAUGAGAAUAUCCUCAUAUGAAAUCAUGCAUUAUGUAUGAAGGAACAUGACAACCAUUAUUGAAUUUAAAAUUACCACAAUCCCAAACCCCAAUUAACCAUGACCAGGGAUUCAAAAGGGAUGAGAAUGGUUCAUAAAAAAUUAGUUUGAAAAAGUUUUUCAAAAACCAUAAAAAUCAUGAGAACAACUAUCAAUUUUCUCAAGCAUAAUGGUGAGAUCAAACCCUAUAAAAGAAGGCUUGACCCUGGCCACAAAAAAAACCAUUAAAGAUGCUUGAAAUCUCAGACAAAUAGGGUUUGAAAUUAGGUUUUACAACCAGAUUUGAAAGGAAAAAAAAGCCAAAAAAAUCCUUAAAAUGAAUUUUCUAUAGAAAAUCACUUUGUCAAAUAAACAAACACUUGUGGCUCUCAACUUUAUUUCAAAAUCAAUCAAAAAGACUUUCAAAAAUCUUUAAAAUGAAGAGGAAAACCAAAAUCCCCAAAAGCAAAAAUUAAAAGAAAACAAGGAUUUCAAAUCCUAACAAAACCUCAUUCUCAUGAGUGACCAAUGGGUUUGAAAAAUGGUAAAAUACCCAAACAAAAUCAAAAUCAUAGCAAUCAAAGCUUCAAAAACCACUAUACAGCAAAGUAAAUCAAUGAUCAAGCAAUUUCUCAAGCAAACGAUAUGAAUCAAAAGAAAGAAAAAGAACCAUAAAUUAUGAACAAAUAACCAACAGUCAAAUGUGUGGCCUCCAACAUCCAUACCUAAGCAAAUAAUCUCAAUAUACAAUUAAAAAAAGAGAAUAAACAGUGAAUGAAAAGAAGAAAACAAAAUCAAAGUGACUUACCAAGCUAUCUCCAUAUAAGUGAAUCACUUGCCUUCUUGCAACCUCCAAAUCUUCCUCCAAGAAAACUCUUCCCUCUCUCUCUCUCUCUCUAAAAAUUUGCAAAGUUUCCCCACCCAGAACACUCAGAAACCCCCCUCCCGCCCCUCAAACCAAGCUCUCAAGGCUUUUAUAUGGCAAGGGAUUGUGGAGAUUUAGACACUUGUCCUCAUCUCCUCCAAAGCUCAAAUCUCUAAAAAAACCAAAAACAAACCCAUGGGGUCUCUAACCCAUGGCUAAGGCUCAUAAAAGCUAACUUUAAAAUAGGGCUCAAAAAGAAGUCAAAACGGGCCUAAAAUCAACAAAACCCGAUCAACUGGUCAAAGAAACUGGUUAAGUCGUUGACCUCGAUCGAUUUAGCCCAAAAGGGUUUUGGGUCUCACGAAAGGGUCCUGAACAGGCUCUAAUCGCGCUGAAACUUUGGGAAAACCUAGGGUGUCGCUAAAGUCACACAACAAAUCCAAAAACUUCCUCUAAAAAUUCUCCAAAAGUGUCCCAAUAGUCAAUGCCAAACUAAGUAACAAGUGGAUCACCAAGGAGCAUGAUGAACGUCUAAGUAGAAAGGAAUCCUACGCACGCACUACAUGAAAAUGCAAGGCAAGGGGUAACAAGUAUGAUGAAUAACAUGUGCUAUGAGGACAAAAUCAAGGAUCUACAAAUUUACUUCAAGGAAAAGAUAAAACAAUGCAAAAAUAAUGGCAUUCCAAGCAUAGGCAUACUGGGUUCAAACACCACUUUAUAUCAUUGUAGCAAAUCCACUCCUUUAGGCUUUAACUAAACUAGAACAAAUGAAAAACACAAUGACAAAACCUUUUUAAUAUAUAGAUAGUAACCAUUUGAAUCUACUAAGAUUGAAUGACAAUGGGAUCACUAAAACUCAAUUACUUGAAGUUAUAUAUCCAAAAUCCAACUCUCUUAACAUAUGAAAAUUCCAUUGUUAAAUAAAUAAAAAAUAAAACAUAAAAAACAGUGUUCAACUAUGUGCUUUGAUAGAAAUAAAAUGCAAGAAGGAUUAUGCAUGAACACCAAUAUUUUUAUAUCAAUCCCUGUUGUCUCAUUUAAGUUUGAUUAACUAUGCUAUAAAACACACUUCAGUAAAGAAGAAAAAAACUAAUAGAACACAUGAAAAUUCAGCUAAAAUGAAAGAGAAUGUAUGGUUUGAAAGCAAAAGAAAGCAAGAAGGAUCAUGCAUGAAUGUUGGCAUCUUUGUGUCAAAACCUAUUGUCAUAUUGAGGUUUGAUUAACUAUGCUAUAGAACACUUGACUAGAGAAGAAGAAAAAAGAGUAAUAUAGCAUAGGAAGGCACACUUAAUGACUAUACUAUUCUCUUAUUGGAUCCCAUAAAUCAUUAGGAAACUAAGCAAACAAGAUGAGAGAAAGAGAGAGAUGGAGAGAGUAUACCUCUGACAAUUGCUUGUCCUCAUCACCCAAUAAAACUGAAUCUGAAAACCCAUCAUGAUUUACAAAAUCUGCAAACGGAAUCUAUAAAAUAAUUUAAUUAUUCAAGAAGUAGUCAUAUAAAAUAUACAAGUAUACAAAGUACCCUUAAUUCCAAAUGGAAAAGUACAUAUAUCUAUAACCAGAUAAUUAUAAUAGUAAUACCAAAGAGAGACCCUUUGUGCUCCCCCAUGCCCGAGAUCCAACUGUCACAUUCACAACAUAUGAAAAUAAGUUCCAUACUUCAGAAAAGAGAAUUAAAUUUAAUAAUAAAACAUAAUUCAGUACGGUAAAAAGUUUAUCAGUACAAUAUUUUUUAACUUCUAUAAGCAACUGUGUACCUAGAGCACAUGCAUGCAUGAAUUCCUUCAAUGAGAUAUCCUUAAAAAGAUUUUCAGAGAAGUGAUGCAGAACCUGAAAUCGUAAGACACAUCUUAGCAAAGUCAUAGAUUAAAUGAAAGUCUCCUGAGUUGAACAGAGUAACCGCUCAUGUUAUAUUUUUAAAGUAAAAGCACCAAAAGAAAAUAUUCGAAGAACACCAUAUCGAAGAAGAAAUGCCUCAUUGGUAUGUACAUUGCAUUAUUUGAUGCUAUAAUAUUAUAAUUUUAUCUAUCAGUUAGUUGGUCAGUUGACCACAUCAAACAAUAUGAAAGAUAGUGAGAGAUAAUCAAAUAUGUGAGAUGCUUAAAUGAAUGUGAGUAGUUAAUCUGUUAUUAUGUAUAACACUCUAAUCUUUCCUUUAUGAUUAGAUUAGGCUGACUGUGGUUAGAUCUUUCCUGUGACCAUUAAAAUCGUCUUCAGCAUUUAUCAAAAACAGUGUUUCUCUAAGAAAAAUAAUAAUAAAUCAACUUCCCUUCUUGAGAGGGGAAAAAGAUCCAAAAUUUCCAACUUGUUACUUUGUUGAUUUGUUCCUUUUGCAUAUUACCCAUUUCUGUUUUAGCACAUGUCUUUCAUCCCACCUGUUUAGUCCUCUCACACUGCAAGUCAUAGGGCCAGACAGUCAAGCAUGGCCCAGCCCGCAGCUUGUUUAGGCUUGAAAACCGUCUUCAGCCAGUCCACAGCCUCUAGGGGCCACAAGUGGGUCAAGUCAGCAUGGUGGGCCACCACACAUGGCCAGCACGGUCCAAGGGACUGUGCCGAGCCAUGGGCGUGCCUGGCUCACUCACCACCUCUAGGUGCAACUCACUCUAGUCUCUUAGUUUCUAGUGAUGAGAAAAAGGAUGCAGUGGUAAGAAUGAUGAAAUGAAAUGCAACAAAUCUCCUACAUCUUACCACAGUCUCAGAUAAUAAAAAUUGUGUGUGAGGGAGAGCAAGAGUCUUGGAACAUACAAGAGGGAAAAGAAAUGAAGUAUUUACAGGUUUAAUUGCCAAAAAGUCCUUCUGAAUUUGAGCCUUUUGGUUAAUCGUCUCCUGAUAUACUGAACUUUGUUGAAUCAUCUUCAACUCGCCUUCACUCCAGAAUAUCUACAAAGAACCAAUCAACACCCAAAUUACAACUCAUCUUCAUGCCAACAAAGUUACUCCUAUAAAUAACUUGAUCCACCUAUGUUUUUUCCCUUUAAGGGAUAAUAAUGCAGUUAGUUGUUCAUGGUAACACUAGCAGGAAGAUGAUAAGCAAGCUCCAUCAUGGAAAUCAACAAAAAUCUACUCUUUUUUUUUUUUUUUUGAUAGGCAAAAGCACAAAGAUAAAUUAGAAAAAGGGUGCUUGAAAGGCGACCCGGAGCAUACAAGGAGUAUACAAGUGUCACCUAAAAAAAACAACAAAAACACAAGCACUCACUGGCCCUCAACAAGAACCCAACCAUUCCACAAAGUUAAACAAAGUUAAGGGGCCUACAGCUAUAGAAGAUUUAGCCCAAGAUAAGAGAUUACAAACAAAGGAAUUUUUCAAUCUUUGAGUCGACAAAGCCUCAUUAUUAAAGACUAUCUUAUUUCUUUCCUUCCAAACCGUCCAAAAUAAACAAAGAGGAACUACCCGCCAAACCUUUCUAUGUUUCUUGUCCUUAAAAGAAACAUACCAACUUAAUAGAGUGUCUCUCACCGUAAACGGCAGAACCCAAUUAACCCCAAAAAGAGAAAACACAAGAUCCCACAAAAUCUUCACCUUAGAACAAUGAACGAGGAUAUGAUUUAUCGUUUCCUCUUCAACACAACACAACACAAGCAACAUCUGUUGGCUAAAAUCCAGCCCCUCCUCUUGAGCUGAUCUUAAGUAAGGACCUUCUCCCAAGAAGCUUCCCAAGCAAAAAAAACUCACCUUUGUAGGAACAUACGGACUCCAAAUAAUAUUGCACGGAAACGAGAUUGCACAGCUAUGAACAAGAGACUUAUAGAGAGAUUUUACAGUGAAAAUCUCAUUUUUCGUUUCUUUCCACAGCAUCCUAUCCUCCCCAUCAGCAUCCAACCUCUUUCCUUGAAUGGACGAAAGGAGUCUCUCCACCUCCUCCACCUCCCAAUCAUUGAAAGGUCUAAGGAAAUGGUGAGUCCACCCUCCCUCUUCCCCCAUUGGGUCCCAAGAGUCCGCUACCCACGCAUCUUUAGAACCCGCUAAAUCAAACAAGGAGGGAAAGGCCUCACAAAGGGGGGUGUUCCUGCACCAAAUGUCUUUCCAAAACCUCACCCUUUUACCAUCCCCCACAGAGAAUGAUACAUUAUUGAGCAGUAACAAACCUUCCUUGCCGAUUUCCUUCCAAAGCCCUACCCCAUGGCCCUCCCUAGCCCCGCGAGUGCUCCACCUUCCUCUUUCAAUCCCAUACUUCGUACUAAUAAUAAGCUUCCAAUAUAAGUCUCUUUCAACCGCAAAACACCAACUCCAUUUGCACAAGAGGGCUCUAUUAAGAAUGGAAAGAUUUCUAAUCCCCAAUCCACCCAUCUUUUUGUGAGUACAGACAACAGCCCACUUAACAAGAUGAGGCCUCUUCUCCAACGCUCCCCCUCCCCAAAGAAAAUCCCUUUGGAUUUUCUCAAGUCUUAAUUUAACCACUCUUAGCAUGCGCAAUAAUGACAUAAGAUAGGUUGGCAUGCUCGCCAAAGUGCUCCGGAUGAGAGUGAUUCUUCCUCCCUUAGAAAUGAACUGCCUCUUCCACAAGGCAAGUUUCUUCCUCAUCCGCUCUUCCACUCCGUCCCAAACCUUCACCGACUUAUGCGAAGCACCCAAAGGGAGCCCCAAAUAAGUGGAAGGGAGAGAUCCCACUUUGCAGCCAAGCUCAGCAGCCAAUAACUCAGCAUUCUCCACUCUACCCACCGGCAAAAUCUCACUUUUGUUCAAAUUAAUGCGCAAUUCGGAAAUGGCUUCAAACCACAUUAAUAACCAACUUAGAAAAGCCAAUUGCUCUUGAGAGUCCUCACAGAAGACCAAAGUAUCAUCGGCGAACAACAGGUGCGUAACUUGGGUCCCGACACCUUCCCUUCCCCCUAUCCUGCAGCCUGAUAGAAAACCCCCUCUCACUGCUCUGUUAAUGAGACUACUUAAGGCCUCCAUUCCUAAGACAAAAAGGUAAGGAGAGAGGGGGUCUCCUUGCCUUAACCCCCUGGAGCUCCGGAAAAAACCAGUUGGAGAACCAUUGACCAGAACCGAAAACGAAGUAGUGGAUAUGCACCAUCUAAUCCACCCAACCCAUUUCUCCCCAAAACCCAUAUUUUAACAAAAAUCUACUCUUAAUGCAUAUUCUCAGUGCAACUUAACUUGUUUAUACAUUCAUAAUUGGAGGAGGAGCCACUCAAGGCCCAGCGGGCACUUGGCCAACUGAAAAUUUAAAAUAAAAUAGGUAUUAUUGGAGAUUUGGACCCUUAAACCAAGGAUAAGGAAAAAGUCAGUCUUUACCACAAAGCUUAAUCAAGUAGUUUUAUUCCUUCUAGCGCCUCACCCCACAAAUGAAAUUCCUGACUCUGCCACUGUUCAUAAUUCUUAUGUUCUCCUCUCUGGUACAAUUCCAAUUCAUAUGAACCUCUAAAGAUUCAUUCUGCAGCUCCAUACCUAUCAUAGUCUCCACCAAUUUUAUUAUUGCUCUUGCAUGCAAAAUCUGAAGCCCAUGAUGGCUAAUAGCUAAAAACAAUUCUAAUUUCAGAUUCAAUAUCUUUUUUCAUGGGAAGCUACUUGCACCACAAAUAGCUUUAGCAGACAUCAAAUCAUGCUUUUACUGUUUUACAAAUUUUUUAAAUCAUCAAAGACACAAUUCAAUAGAGCAUGUCAUUGAAAAAUCCAAUCCGUCAACCAAUAAUGUCAAUAGUUGUGCUAUGAGGCAAUGUAAUUCAACAAACAUAGAAAGAAUGCAUAGUAUUUAAGGACAUAACAAAAAAAAAAAUGGGGGGAGGUGGCAGGAGAGAAACCAUCAGUUUGCUCGUGAAAUCUGAGAUGUUAAGGAUAAAUUGUGCCAAUCAUUUUUAGAUAGAAUCUUUUAUGUUCCUCUUACCUCCUGAACUGUGCCUAUCCAUGGAUGAAGAACUGAUAUAAUUUAUCACUCUCUUUUUUUCUGGAAGCAUAACAUGAGGAAGAACCUCCACUCAAACAAAUGCAAUAGUGAUUAUUGAAGGCCCAACAUAAGCCAUAAGCAGUUCUCCUAGAAUCAGAAGUUGCCUCUAUGUAACUGUAUAUACAGAUGUUUAUAGAAAAUAAAAAAUAAUAAAGAAACAUUUACUGUGCUAUGCAUUUCCCCAGGCUGAGGGAGACGGUUGAUAUAAGGGGCCCAUUCAGAAUCCUGCAUAAAACAAUGGAAAAAAUUGAGAAUUUUUCGCUUUCAUCAUAUCUUUUUCAGUAUUGCCAUAAAAGCUCAAAAUGGCAAGGCAAACAAGUACAGACAAUUUUUCAGCUACAUGCAAGAAGGUGACAAAUCAUAGUUGUUAAAAGAUGAGCUUAAAGCACACCUAGGCCCAAGGCACAACAACUCCCUAGUUAUAACACCUCACCUACCAUAGCUUGCCCCUUGUUGUAGAAGCAUAUCUCAUCUAUUUUACUUUUCAUUUUUAGAACUUUUAUUCUUAAAAAUUCUAAAUGAAUAGUAAAAUUCUAUUUAUUUUCUUUAUUUUUUUGUUGGAUGAUUCUUUUAAAUGUCAAAAAUCUUGAAUUCUGUUGUUUCGAUUGAAUUUUUUUAUAUCAUAUUUUAUAAAAUUGACAUGCACAAUAGGUUGCAUUUCAUUCCAUCAGGCAUAUGCCUUGUCUUGCCCCUUGCACCUAAGCCUUAAAAGAUUUUCACGCUGGGUCCGCCUUACACUUUUUAAAACUAUGCGACAAACAUGCACAACUACCACCCAUUUAAGGUUAGUGAUCCCAAUGAAAGAAAAAACAAAAAAAGUUAAGUACCUGACCCAUUUUCCACUCCACUGAGAUGACUAUAGCAAGCUUUGCAAUAUUUCCAACCUCAUCACCUAGCAAAGAAUUAAUUUUUGAAGGAACAUUAUCUGGUGAUAUUUGCUGCAGAAUCAAGAAAAAAAUUAGUUAACUAUGGUUCAGAAUAUGGCUGGGAAAUAAACAGCUUUAAAGACUGGAAAAGUUUAUAAAGGGCAAUUUACCACAUUAUAAGGAACCUUCAGUAUGCAGUCUCCAGUUUGUAUCGACUUAGAAGCAAACAAGGACCUGCUUUCAGGAAAUACAUUUAAUUUAUUUUAGGAAAAAAGAAACUUAAUAGCUCAAUCAGGCAUAUACCAGUUGAAGGCCCAUAUUAUUUCAUAUUUUCCAAUGACUUAAAGUUCCACAAUCCAUAACAAAAGAUGUUGUCAUGAUCUUUAGAAGCAGGAAAGACCUACCACAGUUUAAUGAUGAGCUCAAGCACCCAAUCAACAUAUAAUAUUUUUUUUAACAGAUCUCAAAUCCCUCUGCCUGUAUUGACUUCAAACACUUCAUCUUUUACAUAAACAGCAUCAAGGCCAAAGAAGUAGGGAGGCUACAAAUUCAAAAUGAUGGGCAGCCAGGCUAAAACCUUCAACCAAAUUUUUAUGAACAUGAGUCUUGAGAGUUCCCAUGAAAACAAAUCUAGAAGUCAUAAAAUCGUGAUUUCAAAAACACCAAGUUGAAGUCUCUUAGUGUCCUUUACUGAGAAACGACAAUCUAAGUUGUGUUAUAUUCGCAUGGUACAGCCGAACUUAUUUGAUCCUUCAAAUCAACAAUAGACUAUUAUCCAAGCAUAGGAAGAACCCCGAUGCAUUCUUGCACCUAAAAGGUGCAAACCUCCACACACAUUCCAAUCAAUCGGAUGAUCUUCAUUUAAGCCAAAAUAUUCAGAUGUAAAAUUGUGAAUGAUGGACAAACUUGUGUAGAUGUUCAUUAAGAGAAAUGUUAUCAGAAAACUUGGGUGAAGGCCAUCCAUGAACUAGUCAAAGCACCAUCUUUGCCAUGUGAAAUGCUAGACCACAUGAAAGUGCCCUUUUCAUUUUUGAGAAAUGACACUGCUUCUAUAUUUUGUGAACCCAUCAAAGGUAUCCUCAGCAUUUGUUAAAAAAAUUUCCUCGAAAGGAUCAUAAGAUCGUAAUGCAAGUUUCAUCUAUCCAACAAAACAAAAGACAAGUACUUCAAUUAAUGCUUCAGAAGAGUUCACUGUUUUUUCAACUUCAUUUGCAACUUAUGUCAUAAAGUUCUGUCUACAACUUAGUCAUGAUCAGUAUUCAAAUCUGAAUUCCAAACAACUUGAUGAUGCAAUUAUUAUUCAUGCUUCUUAAAAUGUGUAUUCCAAUUGAGAAAGACAUCUAAACAACUACAUCAACCAAAAAUCCAUACCAUUCAUCAGCAGAAUGACUUCCAAACAGGGAAAUUACCAAAACACCAAUAUGAAUCAUCUCAAACAUAGAAUGUCUUGGUGAAGUCCAGGGUGAUUCCUCGACUCUAUGCCAGCUAACCUUCAUGAAUUCCAUAAAUCAUAAUCCUCGUGUUGCAAGACCUCAUAUCAAAAAUUAUUUUUGAACCAUCUCCCAUUGAAAUACAUUACCUUUAGUGUCUAAGCUUCUUAUCUGAUCUCAGUCUUACCCAUUGAUUUAAGUGAUCUUUAGUAUCUAAAUGUCUUAUAAAUCUCAGCCUUAUGGAGCACAUUAGACUUUUUAUCCUAUGUGAGAUACAAUAUUACAUCUUAUCUCACUUCUUCUGCAUUGAGGCUUUAUUUGCAUUAAGAUUUCCUUUGCGAAUGGUUCUAAAGAAUACUAAAUAUGUCCACGAUGAUGACUUUUUUUUUCGCAAGUAUUCAGGAUAAUACUUUGUUGAGAAGUAAAACUGCAUUAUCAAUGCAAGCAUCCUCAAUUUGUCCAACAAAGUACCCAAAGCCUCCAUAAAAUUUCUGCUCUUUGGUGAAUAAACAGAUUCCCAUAACACCUCAUAAAUACCAUACCAGUUAAGGCAUUUUGGAUUACAAGAAAACAAUAUAAUUGAUGCAAUUUAAUCUGGGAUUUCAAAAUUCAUUUUAACCUCCAAUUAUGAGCAUGGUUAGAAUAUCAAAGGAGAGGGACAGCUGAACUCAGAGAAAUUUGGAAAGCAUCUUACAAGGCAUGAACAACCAGUUUAACUUCAGAAAUGCCUUUGUUUUUUUAUUUGGAUUGGCAAUCAAAAUGGAUAUGUCCAUAAUUUUCAAAAUUCAAGUAUAAAGUUUGACCAAAAAGAAAUAUGGAGAUAUACGGAAGCUGUGUGGAGAUAUAUGGUUUCAUGCAUGGUAAAACAUGUAAUACAUAAAUGUGUGAGCAUACGAAUUGUAGAUGAAACAUUUGUAGCGAGAGAAGUAGACAACCUGCCAUAAGUGGAUUUCCCAAUUGAAAGCACUGAUGAAAUUUCAACCCCAGCCUUCUGCUCCAGCCAUGGUAAAAAAUCAUCACAGUCCUUGUCUACACAAUGUGAGUCCUGACGCCAUAAAGCAACAACAAAACCAACUGAACUUCAUCACAACAUUAGUGAAAAUUUAAAGGAAAUACAAUCAGCUGCUACAAUUUGAACCAAUUAAAAUACAUCUGUGCAUUGAGAAAACCAAACAAACUGUUGGAUUAUGCUCGGUUUUUUCUUCCUGUUUUCCAGAUACUGGAAAUUCCAAACUUCAGGAUUUCCGCCUCUGUUUGGUUGCUGAGAAAGAGAGGAGAAUAAAAUUUUUGAAUCUCAUCUUUUAAGUAGUUACGACCUCUUAAGAGAGAGAUUGUUCCACUGAGAGACGCGAUUAAGGUGCAGGUUUCCUAAUGAAACCUACAACACAAAUACUCGAUUUCUUUCCUUCCAACCAAAUGGAGCAUUAAUUUCUCUCCUUUUUUACAAUCUCAUCCUCUGGAUUUCCUAUUCUUUCCUCCGUUUUCUCGCUGACCAAACAUGUAAAAAUAAUAAGUAAAUACAUAAACAAAUAACAGACAUCUGAGGGAGUACUCGACCAGAGAGAUAGAAUUGGAGCAAACCUGAGGCAUCGCUGGAGAAGAGAAUUUGAAUCGACGAGAGAGACAGACAAUAGGACGAUGAAGGCAGCAGCGAUCGAUGAAUCGAGCACCCAAUAGCAUCGCAAAGACCUUCGUGGAUAGGGUUUGGUCCGCCUUCGCCGGUUGAAGCGAUCGAACAAAUCAGAAUAGUCUAUCCUGAGUUACCGUUGGACCACGUGUUAACUCAUUUUGCAUCAGGCAUUUCGGUGAAAUGAAGUGGAGUAGCCCUUUGCCUUAAAGAGAAGGGGCGGUUAUGUUUGGAAAUUGUUAAAAUGAGACGCUUCUUGAAAAACAAUUUUUUUUAAUAAUUUUUAGCAUUUCUAGUUUUAUUAUGGAAAAUUUUUUAAAAAAUAUUAUAAAUAUUUUUUAGAAUUACUAUCAAACUCACUUUUAUUGUUUUUAAUACUUAGAUCAUUAGAAAGUCUAAAAACACUUUUUAAAAACAAUGAUGGAGUUUAAUAAUAAGUUGAGGAAGUAACAACAGUAAUUUAUUCUAAUGAGGACAAGAAAAUAGCAAAAAUAACUUCAUAGUGACAUGGUUGGUGACGUUGUCUUGUAAAUUGAAUAGUAGAGGUUUAUAACGUGUUUUACACUAGUUUUAGUCAAUGAUUUCUAGUUUUUUUUAAUACUUAAGUUAAAAAAUAUUAUAAGCACUUUUUAGCCUAAUGGAUUAUUCGGCUACAUCCCUACCUAGAAGCAUUGUCAAACACACUCUUAAAAUAUAUUUCACACUAGUUUUAGUCAACGAUUUCUAAUAAUUUUUAAUACUUAAAUUAUAAAUAUUAUAAGCACUUCUUUGCCAACUAAAUUAGCUAGCUUCGCCCCUACCUAUAAACACUAUCAAAUACACUUUUAAAAUAUAUUUCACACUAGUUUGGUGAACGAUUUUUAAUCAUUUAUAAUACUUAAAUUAUAAAUAUUAUAAACACUUAUUGGCUAAAUGGAUUAGUUGGCUCCACCCUACCCAAAAGCAUUGUCAAAUAUACUAUUAUAAUGAAUUUCACACCAGUUUUAGUCAACAAUUUUUAGUCUUUUUUUAAUAUUUAAUUAGAAAGAUUAUGAGCACUUCUUAGCCAAAUAGAUCCUUAAAAACGUUUCUCAUGUAUUUUCCAAAUUAUAAGUAUGUUUCAAAUCUAAAACUUAUGAUAAAUUUUAUUUAUAAUAUUUUAUAAAUAUUUUUUUAAAAUGUAUCACACAAAAUGUGUGAAAACAAUUUAAAAUAACUAUUUUUUAUUUUAUGAUUAUCAAAUAUUAUUUUAGAUAAUAUAAGAUUGUUUUAUAAAACGAUUGUCAUAUGAAGUCAAUCAUUCCGCUUCAUUAUUUUUAACUCGAUAAAAAUAUUUUAUGCAUGAUAUCAUUAUUGCUAUGAGAGUGGUUAGUCUUUUAUCAUAUGCAUAUAAAAGUUGCUACCAAAGCUUUAGAAUAGAAAUAUGAUUGUACAUUAAAGGAAAGAAAAUCAUAUAAUUUAGUUAAGAGUGUAGAGAGUUUAUGAAAAACGACACAAUAAAGUGAACUUAGCAAGAAGUUUAUUGUAACACCAGGUAGUUUUGCAAAUGUAAAUAUAUAUAUACAAAGUUAAAUUGUGUUUAAUUAAAUAUUGGUUAGUUUAAUGUUAAGCAUGUUUAAUUAGGAUUUAAAUAAAACUUAAGCAUUAUUAUGUUUGGUUGAGAUAUUAAACCUAGUUUAAGGUUAAUUAGUGCCUUGAACUCGUGGUUGGGGUAGAUGAGUUUUACUUCUAAUAAUGAGGACUUGAGAAAGUGAAUUGAGAUUAGGAAAACAUGGAAGACAAAGUAGCAAGAGGACUCUAUAAGUAUAAAAAAAUUUAUUAGUUGCAACUAUAGAACUUAUCACCUCACGUUUUCUAUACUUUUUUUCUCUUCUUUAUGUCAUUUGAGUCGUCCCUCUAACUCGUGAUUAUCCUUCGUUUUUUUAACUUAACCAUUAAAGGUUGUGAGCCAAGGGAGAUCCUUUGGGCCAUGAUAAUUUGUAGGUAUGGGCUCAAAAGCAAUUACACAAAGUAGCGAGAAGAAGGUUCCUACAUCAACCCUAUACCUCCCAUAAGAAUGGUGUUAAGUUCCCUCAUUAAAGUAGUGUUAGCAUACACCCCUUCCCAUUCACAUGAGGACAUUUAUUUGAAGUUGGUCACAAUUCAUUGUUUCUUUAAAUAGUUUACACGCUCAUUUAAAAACAUCUCACUUAUAGCAUGACGUCUUGAUAUCGUGACAUUUGCACUAGAUUGGAGUAGGGCUCAUAUGGCAAGCUUGACUCUCCUAUCAUUGAGUUAUUGGGAGAAAUGGGGGAUCUUAGUUCGAUGGAUGGAGCUAAAAAUUAUUUAAAACAAGUUAGGUUGCUCAUAUGUUGAACCUCAUUUGUUUGAAUGAUUGUAAAGAUGAAUGCGAUUAGACUCGAGUUCAUACAAUUCUACAUAUCCAUAAACACGAAACUACCUAUUCAAUGGGUAAUUCUAAUUCCGUCAAGUCAUAUUGUUGGUUAGGUUUCACUAAAAAACUGAUUUAACCAUAUGUUAAAGUUAAAAUCAUCCUACAACGGUUAGGAGACAAGGGAAAACUUUCUUAUACUAUAAAAUGAGGUAUCCAUCUCUUAUACUAUUCAUUAAAACAAAGUAGUUAUUAUUCCCAUAUGUUACAAUGAAUCGUCAAUAUAUAAUUGAUCAUUUUUAAUUAUUUGUUUGUUCUAUCAUUUUUAUGUAUUUGUUUAAACCAUUUAUUUAUUUUUUGUACAUUAAUGAUCAAUGUUUAAUUCAUUUUUUUUUCUGUUAUACUUUAUGUUUCGUUAUUUUUCUAUGACAUGUUUUUCAAUAUACGUUUGCUUAUAAUUUUUAUAAUAAAAUCCAUACAUACAAAUUUUGAAUUAUGAAAUAAAUAAAAAACUAAAUAUCAACAAAUUUAUAUUUAAAUUUUUUGAAAUUCAAAAAAGAAUAUCACCAAACAAAUCCUUCUGCAAUAUAUUUUAAAACACAAAUAAUACUUAAAAAUUUGACAAUUUUGUUUCAUUUUUUACUAACUUAUUUUUUCAAAAUUUUAAAAAUAAUUUUAAAAAAUACAUGACAUUUUCUUUUUUAUAAGUUUAAUAAUGGAAAAUCCCGUGAAAAUAAAACCGCGAAAUAUGAUUUGAGCCUGGCGCUCUUUUUGCCAUGUCAGCAAUCCGCCCUAACUUGAAUUACAUAAUCGUAGCCGUUGGUAUUGAAAUCGACGGCUUUAGACACUCCCCUCAAACCGCUGGCACGGAUCGAUUCCCGACACCCGCAAUCCUCAACUUUCACUAUAAAAAACACACCACAGGCCCCCCUAAUGAUCAUUGCUAUCACAGUUCUCUCUUUCAAUUGGUUCAGAGCUCUUGAUUCAGGUUCCUUCUCAUACCAUCACAGUUCUUUAUCAUGUUCAAUUAUGAGGUUUAUCCUUGUUGUAUCUGUUCUCUCAUUUCCUAAUCUUGCGUUGAUUGGAAUGAAGAAGUUAGGGUCUUAUCUGUUUUCUAAAUGUUAGGGUUUAGAGUAUGUAAUUGAAAUUCGAGUCGAUUUGUUGAUGUUUUUGCCAAUCAACUGUUGACUUAAUAUCAAUAAUUUUGUCUUAUCGCACUACGGUUGAGAAAUUGCAUUUAGAGGUUUUAUUUGAUUUUGAAGGUUUUUUUUUUUCGUCUCCUUCAUUACAGCGACCAAAUUUUGCUUCGCUCAAGUGAAAACCUGGGGCCUUAUUUGUUUUAUUUUUUGCUGAUUGAUGUUACAAAUCAUCGAUCGAAAGUUUUCAACAAAAUGCUGAUUUGCUACAAACGGUUUCUUUAUCUCCCAUUGUGAUUUUAUUUUUGUUCUGAUGCUGAGAAGUUGCGUCGGGGGUUUGUUGUUUAGCUGUAAUUUGCUUAAAUUUUCGGUAACCUAUUAUUAUUCUCAGCAGCUGAUUGGGAUGCAUCUCACGAUUCUUUAGUUUCUUUUAGGGUUUUUGUGAUUCUUAUCCUAACCUAGCCAGUUCCAUUGUUUCAGCUCCAAGAUCAUCCAUUCCUUGAUCUACAAUGUCUGGCCGUGGCAAGGGAGGCAAGGGCUUGGGAAAGGGUGGAGCCAAGCGUCAUCGCAAGGUCCUCCGUGAUAACAUCCAGGGCAUCACCAAGCCUGCCAUCAGGCGUCUGGCCAGAAGAGGAGGCGUGAAGCGUAUCAGCGGUCUGAUCUACGAAGAAACCAGAGGGGUGCUCAAGAUCUUCCUUGAGAACGUUAUCAGAGACGCUGUGACCUACACUGAGCACGCUCGUCGCAAGACCGUGACGGCUAUGGACGUGGUGUACGCGCUCAAGAGGCAGGGCAGGACUCUCUACGGGUUUGGUGGUUAGGGUUUGUGAAUGGAAAGUCUCGCAGCCUAGAAGCGAAGGCGUUGUGUAGAGGCUAAUUUUAGGGUUUAUUUUCUUGGAUUUAAUGGGAUGUACUGCUCCAUAUCUUUGGGCAUCAUUUUGUGAUAUAUUCUGAAAUGAAAACGGACGGUAUUUUGAGCAUUAAUCAUUGUUCUUGGGGUUUUUUUUUUUUUUUAAAUUUUUGGCAGAAAAAAAUUGUCAUGAACUCUAGUCUAUUUGAUUAAGGAUGGCAAAGUUCGGAUCAUGUUAAUCCUACUCGGUUUUUAAAUCAAUUUCCAACUUUGUUCCAGAAGAAAUCUUAAACCUGUGGGAGAAGGUCUGUUUAAAAAAUAAGUUAAAAUCUAAUUAGGUUUUUUUUUGAAUAGGAUAGGAGGAAUAUUUUAAAAAAUUGAUUUCACUUAUUCUUAUCUUUGAUGGUAGUAUAAGUGUUUAUUUUUGAAUAGAAUAAUAUUUUUUUGGAUUAUUAGAUUUAAGUAUUUUUUUAUUAAGAAAAAUGGUUUGGCGAGCAGUUUUGUUAUUUCAAGCCUUUAUAUUUUGAUAAUACGGCAAGUGGCGGUGUCCUUUGGCGCUUUGUAAUGGGCAAUUGGAAGUGGGGUAUCUCUAGGAUUUCAUGGGGUGGACCAUGAUUGUUUUGUUUGAAGUUAGUAAUCGAAAGCGAUGGCGUAUAAGAAUACUAAAUUGCUUAUUGUGAAUCUGUGAUGGAUUGACCAGAGUUUUCCUUAGAGGCGAGGUGUUGCUUCUAAAACAAACUGUUUCUGUAUGAUUAAAUUAAGAAAAUGUUUUAAAAAUUAAAUUAUUUGCUAAAAUUGUAGCCCAUUUUUAAUUAAUAAUUUCCUACACGCAAGGUGGGGAGUGGGGACCGCUGCCGAGAGGCAACGCGGUUUCUUAGAUGGAACGGCAGGGCCCAGUGGAGGACAGUUGUUGGCGAGUCAUUUUCAAAAGCAUCACUGUCACUUUUCUAUUUAGCAGAUGACAUGCCAAUACGUGUCGACAGGCCAUUGACCCAAAGGUCGGUUGGCGUGACGAAGACGCCACUAUUCCCGAUAAAAUAAAUAAAUAAAGGGGAGUGGAACACCGCAAUGAUAGAACUUAGAAGAGAUGCCAUUUUGCUACAACCCUAACAAACAGUCUCGGCACGCGAAGAGAAAAUCUCUCUCCUCUCGUUUUUCAAGAAGGUGCCGAUGAAUCUUGUCUCUUCUUUACUACUUUGAUUUUCUUCCCUUCUUCUCAUGUAAUUUUAGUGGCUUCCUUUGUUCAUCUCUCUUUGGGUUUUUAUUUGGUUGUGAUCUGCUUGGUUGAUGAAAAGGAGAGGAAAUGAAAGUUUUGAUUUAGGUUUAGGUUUAGUUUUUUUUUUUUUUUUUUUUUGUGUGGUUUGUUUUUGGGAAAAAAAAGGUGGGAAAAGAGGAGUUGAAAGGUGGAUCUCAGAUGUUUUAUUUUAAUUUUCCUUGUGAUCUGUUUGGUUGUCGAGAAAAGGUGGGAAUCGGGAAGAAAAUAUUUUUUAUUUACGGGGAGUUUUCCUUACUUGGAAAGCCGAUGGAACGGACCAUGUGUUUUUUUUCCUUUCUUUUUCUUCCCCUCCACAGUUUUUCCGGUAACGAAACAAAGGGUUAAUAUGUGACGUAUAUGAUUCAUUAUCAGGCAUCCCAGUUUUUUAAUUAAAUUUGAGGCUGUGGUGAUGGAUCUGAUCAUCUUCUUUCUCUAUGUAGACUUUGAUCUCCUGUGUGUGCUUAAAUCUAGCUUAGCUUAUUCAAUGUUUCCAAAAUGCAGAUGAUGUUGAUUUUAUUCAUGAUUUCAUUAUAUCUCUUUUUCUCAGUCGUUUUUUUCUUCUAUUUUCAUGAACCACUCAAUUUUGAAAUUCAAGGAUUAAAAACAGUUUAGGGAAAAAAAUUCUUAGAAAAGGACAGUUUCAUAAGCAAAGAUAUAUUUCCUGGAGCAUGCCCAGCGGGCUUCCCAUGUUCUUUUUUAGAUUUGUAUAUGCAUGUGAAUAUUGUUAUGAUAAAUGGAGGUUUGCAGAUAAAUAAUCUCUUGAAGCAUUUCAUGUGCAUAUGAAUGGUCAAUUAGUUGUGUUGACGUGUUGUUUAAUAGUUUGAUCAUUACCUUUGGAGGAAUAUUUAAAAAUGGUUAUCUUUCAAAUAUUUAUUUUCAGUUUAGCCUAGGGUAUUGGGGAAAUCUUCCAUCCAGUGUUAAGUGAAAUUUCUUCUUUGAUUGUUUGAAUCAAGAUUUGUUUGUCGUAUCUACAUCUGAAUGAUAAUUCUAAUCCAAUUUAUGUUGAUUGAUUUUGCCAUUUUGUCUGCAGGUUUUGAUCCACAAAAUCCUAUACAUGGAGCCAAACCUAUUUGACAAAGGAAUGGGUAUAUUGUAGAUAAUGACAUGAAACCUACUUCAGAUGCAAUUUCUAGGGUUUUGAGAUUGAAGUAAUUAUAUUUGUUUAAGAUAGAGAUCGGAGAUCUUCAAGAGGCACAUAUUGGAGUCAUGUCUGUAUCAGGGAAUGAAAAGGUGUAUAUCUCCCUUUCUUACUUACACUUAAUUUUAUGCAUCACUUGUUUUUUGAAUAUCGUUUGUGUUUAUUUCCUAAGAUACUCUCAACUAAGAGUAGAAAAAUAUAAUAAUUUCUUUUUUUUUGGAUAUUGAUUCAUUAAUCUUCAAUUGGCAGCCUGGGAUUAAAUCUGUUUCCCGGCAGUAUAGCGCUUCUAUUGCAGGUAUUCCUAUCAAGAAAAGGAGGUUCCCAUUGGUGCGGUCUCCUUCACCUCCACCUGAAGAACAAAUUUCACAUAGGAACUUAUCUCAGGAUUCAUGUCACUCAAAUGCCAGUGUUGUAACAACUUCUUCUGGCAUAUCUGAUGCAAGCAAGAAUUAUUUCUCAGAGGAAAGAAGAGAAAGAUCUGCUGAUAAAAAUAUUAGUUUAAUCCAAAGUGAUGCUAAUAUUUCUGGAGUCAAUCCUCUGGAACCAAGCCUUAGAAUUUAUUCUGGUUCUUCUGAAAGUAUAGCAAGCGAAGAAAAGCCCAUGCCAGCGGAAAAAAGUUCAGGCCAGAUCAUUUCUGGAAACACAGAGCCGCAAUUAGCUUGCAAGGAAGCUCUUUCUCUUCAUGUAGGAAAGGACAUAUUUAGCAAACUAAAAAUAGAAAGGGAUUAUGAACCUCAAGUAUCUACAAUUAUAGGCAGCACUGAAUUGUCAUUAGGACCAAAGGAACCCUUUGCUCCCUCCUUGGUUGGUCAAAAUAGUGAAGGGAGCGGUCAGUUUCUAGAGAAACUAGGUUCUGUUUCUUUGAAUUUAUCUUUGAGCAAAGGAAAAAGCAGUAUCAAUUAUGGAAGUGGCAAGGAUAAGUUGAAUGUAGAUGGAGCUCAUCUUCAGGCUAACAGGUCAAACUGGGAUUUGAAUACCACAAUGGAUGCAUGGGACCGUUCUGAGAGUGAUGGAGCUGCAUGCCAGGGAACUGAUGGGAUCAAUUGUUUGAAUGUUACCAGUGAUACACAAGAUAUAAAGCCUUUGAUACGUUCAGAUGGAAUGGUUGUAGCUGGUGUUGCUUCUGGAAACCAGUUUCUUAAAGGGAGCAAACACAAUCCUAAUUUCACCAUAUCCUCCAAAUCUCCUGGUCAGCAUUACAAUUUUGGGGAUUCUCUUCUUCUGCAACUAAGCCCUUGUCUCCAGCCAAUUAUAGGUGGGGAACAAUCUGGAUCAUCCUCUAAAGUAGAUUCAGUCAGGGUUAUUCCUACUUCAAACUUAUCCACUGUUCUAGUGUCAACUGGAAAUCCAAAUAUGGCAGGGAAUGUAAAAUCUGAACCAAUUGAUGAUAGUCCCAAGCUGGAUUUUAAGGGAUCGAAAGACAACCUUGAGACAUCACCAAUAGAUUUUAGAAAUAUAAAACAUGAAUUGAUUGAGAGGUUGGAACUAGAAGCCCUGAAAAAUUUUAAUUUUGGCAGGCUAAAAUUGGAUCCUAGAAUCAUCAAAUCUGAACCAGUACAUGAGGGAAAUCAUGGAAUUCAUAAGACAGCUGAGGGGGCAUCACAGUUAUCAGGUGGACAGGUGUUUCAAUGCUUGGAUAAUCAAUCUCGUGAAGUGGUAUUGCCUAAAUCUUCGCAUUUGUGCCCUUCAGAGCUUCCUACUUGUUCAACAGAGUUACCAAUAAAUGGGAAUGUGUCAAGCCAUUCAGGAAAUUCCACUUGUGCAAAGGGAAUCCAUGUUAGUACAGAGGUGCCUCAGAAUGCAAGCAAUAGUAUUAAGCAGGUUGCUUCAGAAACUGUUUCUAUAUCUGAGGUUCAUAAAGGUAAAGAAUUGAAUGUUUCAGAUGUACAUGCACCAGGAGUGGAAGAAAAUUUGAAUGUUGGUGAUCCUGAGCAGUGCAGAUUGAAAUUGAUGGAGGAAGCGCCUUUGGGUUCAUGUGGAGAUGGUGGGGGCUCUGCAAGAGAUAGUGAGGGGUCUGUGAGAAGAGACGGUGAGGGGUCUGUUAGAAGAGACGGUGAGGGGUCUGUUAGAGGAGACGGUGAGGGGUCUGUAAGUGAUGAGGAAAAGAUUAACAUAUCAAAUGACAUGCUCGAAGAUUCUUAUGAAUCUGAUUAUGACUCAGAUGGAAAUCAUGAUUUAGCUACAGUUAUGGAAGCGGAACGAUUGGGUGGAGAAGAUGAUGAUGACUAUGAAGAUGGAGAGGUCCGAGAACCACUUGUGCAUACUGAUGUAGGCUCUAUGUCUGAGAAAAGAGAAGCAGAAGAUGUUAAUUGUGGUGAUUCUGAUAAUAAAAAAGUGGGUUUUUUGGGUUCUUCUGGUGAUGAUUGUCCUGCAUCACUUCAAGCUGAGGAAAGAGACACCAAAACAGAAGAUCCUGGUGAAACAAAUAAUGAUGUUAGCGAAGAAUGUCUUGAUGCGGUUCCUGAUGAGAAAACCGAUAUGGUUGCUGAGAAAGACGCCUGUUUCGACAAGUCAUCAACAGUUGAGAUCCCGAUAACUGAACUGGACAAAAAGGGGCCCAUGAAGCCCAUUCGAAGAAAACCCCUUGAUCGAUCUGGGAAAAAGGAAGUUUCAGAGGACCAUGAAUCUGAACUAUCAUCUGAUAAAGCAGUCAGUGGAAGUCAAGGAACUGCAGUGGCAGUUGGUCAGGGUAUAGAUCAGAGCAUGAAAGGAACUGACUCAAUGGAGAAAAAUGAGUCAGCCUUACCUAGGACUGAAGUAUCUCUAAAUAGUAAUGAUGCAAAUAAGGAUGCCAACAGUGGAGGUACUCGGAGCAGGAUUAUAAAUCUACCUCGUGCUUCAUAUGUUUCAUCUUUAUAUAAAACAAGAUCUGUUUCAGGCAGGUCAUUACCAUCUCGAACUGUAAGAGAGAGGUUCACUGAUUUAGUGCCUGAGGGAGAUAAAUUACAUUCUCAAGGGAGGUGAUUAUUUCUGACCCUGUUGCUGCUUGUUUAAUUUGUCCCUUCUUUGGAGGAACCUUGGUAAAUGACCUUUUAUUUCAUUUUUCUUCCUUACAUGUUUUCAGGGAUGAAAUUUUCAUUGAUGGCCCCCACAAAUUUUUGAGAGAGCGGAAUCAAGAUCAAGCACUGAGAAAUUCUAGAUUAAGUUUUACCCGAGGCAGAGGAAGAGGUUCCAGCCGAUUGGAUGCUCUACAUGGUGACUGGGAUUCUGAUCAUGACUUUGCACCUGAACUUUAUAAUGGUCCAACAGAUUUUCGUUUCCGUAGACAUAAAACUGAUGUUGUUGAUGCAGAUCUUGAAUGCAGCAGCUAUAUUAUUGCACCAGAUGGUGCUGUUGGCACGGGUAGAGGAGGGA
Molecule: long non-coding RNA, 25512 nt
Filed under: Vitis vinifera (wine grape)
Lineage: Eukaryota; Viridiplantae; Streptophyta; Magnoliopsida; Vitales; Vitaceae
Description: long non-coding RNA (VVIN_LNC004014)
Source: RNAcentral